This 89-nucleotide small nuclear RNA is filed under the name Octodon degus (degu). Lineage: Eukaryota; Metazoa; Chordata; Mammalia; Rodentia; Octodontidae. The record is from RNAcentral.
UAUUCACAGGGAAUACUUGGAACAGUAAAGAUUUGGCAUAGCCUCUGUGCAAGAAUGACAUGCAAAUUUAUGAAGCACUCCAUAUUUUU